This is a non-coding RNA of Coprinopsis sp. MPI-PUGE-AT-0042, 98 nucleotides long. The record is from the annotation of a GenBank genome assembly. Lineage: Eukaryota; Fungi; Basidiomycota; Agaricomycetes; Agaricales; Psathyrellaceae.
GACACCAUAGCCUAACUGGUCAAGGCGACGUAGCUGCAUGGCGUAACUGACUCUCAAUAUGUGACUCGUUGAUGCAGGUUCGAGUCCUGCUGGUGUCU